AGCGAACGCUGGCGGCAGGCUUAACACAUGCAAGUCGAAGGUGAGGUCGGACUUCGGUCCGGCUGAAACUGGCGCACGGGUGAGUAACGCGUGGGGAUAUGCCCAAAGGUACGGAAUAACCGUUGGAAACGACGGCUAAUACCGUAUGCUCCCUCAGGGGAAAAGCUUCGGCGCCUUUGGAUUAUCCCGCGUCCGAUUAGCUUGUUGGUGAGGUAACGGCUCACCAAGGCUUCGAUCGGUAGCUGGUCUGAGAGGACGAUCAGCCACACUGGGACUGAGACACGGCCCAG
Molecule: ribosomal RNA, 290 nt
Filed under: uncultured bacterium
Lineage: Bacteria
Description: partial 16S ribosomal RNA
Rfam family: Bacterial small subunit ribosomal RNA
Source: RNAcentral